Molecule: ribosomal RNA, 253 nt
Filed under: uncultured bacterium
Lineage: Bacteria
Description: partial 16S ribosomal RNA
Rfam family: Bacterial small subunit ribosomal RNA
Source: RNAcentral
GACGAACCGUGCGAACGUUGUUCGGAAUCACUGGGCUUAAAGGGCGCGUAGGCGGGUUCGCAAGUCUGUGGUGAAAGCCUCCAGCUUAACUGGAGAAGUGCCGUGGAUACUGCGAAUCUUGAGGAGGGUAGGGGCGUCUGGAACGGUCGGUGGAGCGGUGAAAUGCGUUGAUAUCGACCGGAACUCCGGUGGCGAAGGCGACUCUUUGGCCUGUAACUGACGCUGAGGCGCGAAAGCGUGGGGAGCAAACAGG